RNAcentral lists this ribosomal RNA (253 nucleotides) under uncultured bacterium. Its description in RNAcentral is "partial 16S ribosomal RNA". It matches the Rfam family "Bacterial small subunit ribosomal RNA", at positions 524 to 776 of the family's 1533-position model. The record is from RNAcentral.
UACGGAGGGUGCGAGCGUUGUCCGGAAUCACUGGGCGUAAAGGGCGCGUAGGUGGCCCGUUAAGUGGCUGGUGAAAUCCCGGGGCUCAACUCCGGGGCUGCCGGUCAGACUGGCGAGCUAGAGCACGGUAGGGGCAGAUGGAAUUCCCGGUGUAGCGGUGGAAUGCGUAGAUAUCGGGAAGAAUACCAGUGGCGAAGGCGUUCUGCUGGGCCGUUGCUGACGCUGAGGCGCGAAAGCCAGGGGAGCGAACGGG